Small nucleolar RNA from Bombina bombina (fire-bellied toad), 132 nucleotides. RefSeq annotates it as small nucleolar RNA SNORA71. The record is from RefSeq and is a predicted model, not a curated record. The transcript has a single exon. NCBI's taxonomy places the organism in Eukaryota, Metazoa, Chordata, Amphibia, Anura, Bombinatoridae.
UCCUGCAUCGAAAGUGAUUGUGGCAUUACAAUAGUGGCCUGGUCAUUGAUACUGCAGGAAGAGUAUCUUGAUAGAAUUUCCCGUGUUUGGUGGAAUCGUAUUGUGCCUACCAGACCCUGUAACUUUCACACA